AUUGAACGCUGGCGGCAGGCUUAACACAUGCAAGUCGAGCGCGCGGCGGACGGGUGAGUAAUGUCUGGGAAACUGCCUGAUGGAGGGGGAUAACUACUGGAAACGGUAGCUAAUACCGCAUACCAUCAGAUGUGCCCAGAUGGGAUUAGCUAGUAGGUGGGGUAAUGGCUCACCUAGGCGACGAUCCCUAGCUGGUCUGAGAGGAUGACCAGCCACACUGAAACUGAGACACGGUCCAGACUCGUAGGGGAGGCAGCAGUGGGGAAGAUUGCACAAUGGGCGCAAGCCGGAUGCAGCCAUGCUGCGUGUGUGAAAAAGGCUUUCGGGUUGUAAAGCACUUUCAGCGAGGAGGCGUUACUCGCAGAAGAAGCACCGGCUAACUCCGGGCCAGCAGCCGCGGUAAUUC
RNAcentral lists this ribosomal RNA (406 nucleotides) under uncultured bacterium. RNAcentral describes it as "partial 16S ribosomal RNA". It matches the Rfam family "Bacterial small subunit ribosomal RNA", at positions 30 to 526 of the family's 1533-position model. The record is from RNAcentral.